RNAcentral lists this ribosomal RNA (416 nucleotides) under Streptococcus lutetiensis. RNAcentral describes it as "bacterial SSU rRNA". It matches the Rfam family "Bacterial small subunit ribosomal RNA", at positions 56 to 463 of the family's 1533-position model. Lineage: Bacteria; Bacillati; Bacillota; Bacilli; Lactobacillales; Streptococcaceae. The record is from RNAcentral.
UGCAGUAGAACGCUGAAGACUUUAGCUUGCUAAAGUUGGAAGAGUUGCGAACGGGUGAGUAACGCGUAGGUAACCUGCCUACUAGCGGGGGAUAACUAUUGGAAACGAUAGCUAAUACCGCAUAACAGCAUUUAACACAUGUUAGAUGCUUGAAAGGAGCAAUUGCUUCACUAGUAGAUGGACCUGCGUUGUAUUAGCUAGUUGGUGAGGUAACGGCUCACCAAGGCGACGAUACAUAGCCGACCUGAGAGGGUGAUCGGCCACACUGGGACUGAGACACGGCCCAGACUCCUACGGGAGGCAGCAGUAGGGAAUCUUCGGCAAUGGGGGCAACCCUGACCGAGCAACGCCGCGUGAGUGAAGAAGGUUUUCGGAUCGUAAAGCUCUGUUGUAAGAGAAGAACGUGUGUGAGAGUG